RNAcentral lists this unclassified non-coding RNA (5755 nucleotides) under Monomorium pharaonis (pharaoh ant). RNAcentral's name for it is "protein groucho, transcript variant X1". The record is from RNAcentral. Lineage: Eukaryota; Metazoa; Arthropoda; Insecta; Hymenoptera; Formicidae.
CCCACCCCCACCGUCGGUCUGGCCGUCAGUCGCUCCGUGGCCGUUACCGUGGUUGGUGUCCGUUCGUGUCAUUUAACUCGCGCGCUCCACGACGUUCCUCGGGAUUUCUCUCGCGGCGAGAACUCGUACUCGCGAGUGAGAGAUCGAUCCUUUCGCGAUCUCUCGGCGACGGGUUCGCGCGAGCUACGUUAUUUUCGCGCUCGGAACCGAGUGUGUGUGUGUGUGUGCAGUGUGCCAGCGUGUCACAGUGUGUUGCGACGCUCGACGACUACGACGACGACGACGACGACGCCACCGCCACCGCCGCCGUCGCGCCGUCGAGAAGCGGGAAAAGAGAAAGAAGAAGCAGGAGUGUAGUAAAUAGAGUUCGUAGUAAUAGGAUCGUGCUACGUCGGAUACGUGUGCUCUCGAGGGAGGAAUCUUUCGGGUCAGUGUUUUACGACGACGCGGCAGAGGGACGCGACGCGGGUUUUUUCUACCUUACCGACCGAAAAAAAGAAAAAAAAAAGGAUAAGCCGCGCGUCACUCGUAUCGCGCGGAGCACAAAGGAAGGAGCGGGCACGGCCGCCGAGGAGAUCGGGUUGCCUCCUCGCUCGCCUCGUCACGUCGACUCGCGCGCGCGUCGUGCGUGACUCCGAAUGAACGCGACGACCAGCCUCACCUGACCCGGCGGACCCGGGGCGGCGCGAGGAGGAAGAGAGAGGAGAGGAGAGGGAGGGAGGCCGCUACCGAGCAUUGCCCGCGCGCGCGCGCGGGCACGCACGAGUGUACACUUAGGCGACCGAUGAGACGGUAGUGACGGAUGGAUUGGUGGCGACCGCCGAUGGAUUUUCGGCGGGAAAUCGGGCUGUCGCGAGUCACGUCCGCGUACGCGUCGCACCAGCGAAACGUAGCAGCACGUCGUCGAAGCGGCGGCACGACGACGACACGUCAUCACCGAGAGUGCCGAUCGUCGUCUUCUUCGUAGCGGACGACGCGUGAUCCGAACGAGAGAGAGAAAGAGAGAGAGAGAGAGAGAGGGCAGUCCACCUCUCUCUGUUAUCGGUUGUUGUUUGCUGUGCCGUUUGUUGCGUUCUUUUUUUUCUUCUAUUACCGCUGUCGUGUCGGAAUAAGUGUGCCGCGGCUGACAUGACGCAUCUCCUCCACUUUUGAAAAGGCGUUCCGAGAGAGAGAGAGAGAGAAAGAGAAAAUCACCACGUCUCCCGCCAGUCAGCGUGACACGUCGCUGUCGCUCGGAUAUCGUCGCGUGUACCUUUGUCGACGCAUCGAGCGGGAAAUCACGCAGGAGAAAGGAUGUAUCCUAGCGCCGGAAUUAACGCGGCCGCUGUGGCCGCCGCUGCUGCCAGGCAUCCGGGUCCACCGCAGCCCGGGCAGCCAUUCAAAUUUUCGGUCGGCGAGUCCUGCGAUCGUAUCAAGGAGGAGUUCAACUUUUUGCAAGCCCAAUACCACAGUAUUAAGUUGGAGCUGGAGAAACUCGCCCAGGAGAAGACGGAGAUGCAGCGCCACUACGUGAUGUAUUACGAGAUGUCGUACGGGCUUAAUGUGGAGAUGCACAAACAGACGGAAAUAGCGAAGAGGCUGAAUGCCAUUGUCGUACAGAUUCUGCCGUUUCUCUCGCAGGAGCAUCAGCAGCAAGUCGCUUCGGCGCUCGACAGAGCCAAACAAGUGACCAUGACCGAGCUGAACACUAUUAUCGGGCAACAGAGGCCCGAUCUGCCGAGACUUCUGCAGCAAAUGCACGCCCAGCAACUGCCACCGGGUGCAGCGAUGGGACCGCAUCCGGGUAUACCUGGACUUCCUGGAUUGGGCCCAGGCGCGGGUAUACCAGUACCAACCUCGGCAUCCGCGGCGCUUCUCGGUUUAGGCCUUCCUCCGGGAGCGGCUGCCACCCCUGGAGGCACGGCCGGGCAUCCGCUAUCAAUGCUGACGAAACCGGAACUUCAUCGCGGUCAACCCGAUGAUCUCAAACCCAACGGUGGUCUCAAUCCAGCCGAGGAGAGGCAUAGAAACUCGAUAUCACCGGCGGAACGAGAGAAGUACAGGCCGCGUAGCACCCCCGAUUCGCAGCAUGAGCAUAUACUGGCGAAGAAGCUGAAGAAGGAACAGGACAAGGAUAUAGGCCAUCAAAGCGAUGGUGAAAAGAGCGACCAAGACCUGGUGGUUGACGACGCGAGCGAGGGUCCAACCAGCCCAGCGGCGAAUGGUACGGCGUCGCCGCGGGAGAAUGGUCUCGACAAGUUGGGCCCGUCCUCGGUACCUCUGAGCGGUCAGGUGAAGAAGGAGGUACCGCCACCGUCACCUAGAAGCGGCACCAGCAGCAACGCGAGCACACCUUCGGCUAAGAAGAUGGAAGAGCGCGAGAAACCAACGACACCGAUCUCGAAACCUGUUACACCGACGUCGGCAGGUAGCAGUUCCGGUUCUGGUGGCCUGAAACCAUCGAGCUCCAGCAAACCGUUGGUCUCGGCGUCGGUGGUCGGUCCUUAUCCGCCGCACUAUCCGCCACCACAUCAUCCCCCCACGGGACCUCACGUGGACAUGUUAGGCUAUCCCCCCGCGGCGCUCAACGGUGGUUACCCCACGAGACCACCCCUUCAGCAGCUUUACGAUCCUCACGGUAGCAUGAGAGCGCCGCUCGGACCGAUCAUUCCACCCGGUGGUAAACCCAGUGCGUACAGUUUCCACGUGUCUAGCGAAGGUCAGAUGCAGCCGGUGCCGUUCCCGCAGGACGCGCUCAUUGGCCCGGGCAUUCCGCGUCACGCGCGUCAAAUAAACACGCUAACUCACGGUGAGGUAGUCUGUGCCGUGACAAUCUCCAAUCCGACCAAGUAUGUUUACACCGGCGGAAAGGGCUGCGUUAAGGUGUGGGACAUCAGUCAGGGUGGCAGUGCUAGCGCGAAACCCGUCUCUCAGCUCGAUUGUCUGCAACGGGACAACUAUAUCAGAUCGGUGAAACUGUUGCCUGACGGAAGAACUCUGAUUGUGGGCGGCGAGGCGAGUAAUCUUAGCAUCUGGGACCUGGCGAGUCCGACACCGAGAAUCAAAGCCGAACUGACCUCUUCGGCACCAGCGUGUUACGCCCUAGCCAUCUCGCCGGACUCCAAAGUUUGCUUUAGCUGUUGCAGCGACGGCAACAUUGCCGUAUGGGAUUUGCAAAAUCAAACAUUGGUUAGACAAUUCCAAGGUCACACGGAUGGUGCUUCGUGUAUCGACAUCUCUGCCGAUGGCUCAAAACUAUGGACAGGUGGCCUCGACAACACAGUGCGUUCUUGGGACCUUAGGGAAGGCAGGCAACUACAGCAACACGAUUUCACGUCACAAAUAUUCUCUUUGGGAUACUGCCCGACCGGUGAAUGGUUAGCCGUGGGUAUGGAGAACUCUAACGUCGAAGUGCUACACGCAACGAAACCCGACAAGUAUCAAUUACAUCUCCACGAAUCUUGUGUACUGUCGUUACGUUUCGCUUCGUGCGGCAAAUGGUUCGUCUCUACCGGCAAGGACAAUUUACUUAAUGCAUGGCGCACGCCAUAUGGUGCCUCGAUUUUCCAGUCGAAAGAGUCGUCUUCGGUGCUUAGCUGCGAUAUUUCUACGGAUGACAAGUACAUCGUGACCGGAUCCGGUGACAAGAAAGCCACCGUCUACGAAGUGAUGUAUUGAGCCACAUAUUGGCUUCACGAUACACUUCGAUAUACAACAUCUAUUGAAGAUCUACGUGACGUUAAGUGUGAUUGACUUAUGACGGAGGAAUUGAAAACAGAAAAUUAAUUUUUUUUACUCUUUAAAUGUGACUUCAAGCAGUUAUACGGCGAGCUAUCAAGUUUAAUAACAAUUGACAAGACUUGGUCAGUGUACUACGGUCGCUACAUUGGAAACCGAAUUAAAUUCCACAUUUCUGUAAUCACAAAAAAAAACUAAAUUAUAUCCGAGGGAUAGCAUUCAAAUUAUGGGGUUAUAAAUAUAUAUAAAGAUUACAGAAUUUAGCUGUAUAAGAGAUUGUAUAGAGCCUAUAAUCGUAAGUAGGAUGAAGCGAAUGGAAUAGAGAGUGAAAGAGCGAGAGAAACAAGUGCGUGUGAGUACCCUCCGUCUGUAUUUAAUGUGGGAGGCGAUAAUAAGGUCGCUUGUGUAAUAUGUUACUGAUGUAAUAUAGAAUCUUUAUAAUUAGGUCUUUUUGCAUGUGAUCGUGAAAGAAAUGGAGCGAAGAAUCGAGCGCAUUUCGUCGGGCAGGUGAUCGUUCUCUUGCGAUAAUGCUGCAACAACGAAACGAACGCCACGGCGAAAUAUUUGAAUACGUACAGAAUGCUGAUCUAGUGUUGUAGACUUGUCAAAGUAGGGAUGUAUGUUGUGUCGCAGAAUUAUACAUAAUAUAUUGAGCACACAUGUAGGCAGAAUGUUUACGUCAUGUAGCGGAAAACUGUAGGGCUAUGAAGAAAACCGAUAAGUAUCGAUCACGCUAACAUUGUUGAAUGUACGCGACGUUGCGUACGUUCGGUAUCGAAGCCAGCGAUGUGAUCUUUGACAUUUCUACCACCGACAAGAGGAAUAAUUUGUACUUAUUCAUUUUCAGUUUUAAAUACAAUUCUUUUGUAAUUAUAUGGCACUGUUGCGUCUGCCGUUAAGACUUUAUUGUAAUUGAGAUUUUAUAAAACGUGUCGAAGGACGGUGAUAAAACAAAGAAAAAAAAAACAGGAAGAGAGAGCGAAAGAUACUUUUCAAUCUUUUGCAGUAAUUAUGAAACUGGCUUUCAUACGCCUAUUACGAGCGGUAUCGAAUACAAAUAGGAACCCUAUAAGUUACGCGCCGAAUGCGCACCGGAUACUUGAUACAAUUGUACAUUGUUUGCGAGUCUUGACUGCCAUAAUAGGCAUAUACAUACUACGCACACGCAUAUACGCGUAAACAAACACGAGCGAGCGGACCACGUUCGUGGGCGGAUUUUGCAAAAUAUUCGAUAAAGUAUUUUUGUGACUAUUCAUCGUGAGAUCCUAGGCUUAACCAUCGAGCAAAAACCGGUCGUGCGUGAUCGACCACGCGCGCGUCUGCAUCGACGACUGCAGAGACGGGACGAUAAUGUAAAAUGAGGCGAAACACUUGAAUUCUUACACCGCCCCUUCGGUGCAGAUUACAAAACCGGAGGAAGGCACAUACAUACAUACACACAUACAUACACGUUGACAUCCGCUGUGACCGUCCGAAACUCAACGCCACGAUAAUACCUGCCGCGAUAACAACUUUGCAUUGUAACGUGAUCAGCAUUCACGCGCGUGGUUGCGGUGCUACGGCACAACGAACCAGAUGAAUGGAUCCACGAUUUUGGACGAUCACAGCCCCGUUCGUAUAGACCAAUAGAAACAACGAUACCUCAAGAAGACUCAAUAGUUAAUUAUCUCUAACUCAUCGACUUGUACAGAAUCGAUAUUCUUUUACAGUUGAAUAACACACGCACCGUGAAAAAGAAAGCAUUACGCGAGACAAAAGAAAAAGAAUCGCAUAACCGCGACAAUGAUCGUACCCCGCCUCUCCCCCAUCCCGCCCCCCCCUUUCCUUUCCUAUCCGAGACCAUACGUGAUACGUUGAAUUGCGUCUCCGUGCUCGCAUUUUGCACUCCGAAAGCGUACGAAAGCCGCCGUGGGAGAGAAUAUACGUUCGUAAUAAACGGAAGACAGGCAGCGUUAAUCUUUUUCCAAGCACUGUUCAAGUUGUUCCUAUAGCUACGCGAAAAUUGUUUCUUUCGGCAAUUAAAUCCUCUAUAUCUAUA